UACGGGGGGGGUAAGCGUUGUUCGGAAUUACUGGGCGUAAAGGGCUCGUAGGCGGCCAACUAAGUCAGACGUGAAAUCCCUCAGCUUAACCGGGGAACUGCGUCUGAUACUGGAUGGCUUGAGUGUGGGAGAGGAAUGCGGAAUUCCAGGUGUAGCGGUGAAAUGCGUAGAUAUCUGGAGGAACACCGGUGGCGAAGGCGGCAUUCUGGACCAUUACUGACGCUGAGGAGCGAAAGCCAGGGGAGCAAACGGGG
RNAcentral lists this ribosomal RNA (254 nucleotides) under uncultured bacterium. Its description in RNAcentral is "partial 16S ribosomal RNA". It matches the Rfam family "Bacterial small subunit ribosomal RNA", at positions 524 to 777 of the family's 1533-position model. The record is from RNAcentral.